Long non-coding RNA from Neoarius graeffei (lesser salmon catfish), 2258 nucleotides. RefSeq lists it as uncharacterized. The record is from RefSeq and is a predicted model, not a curated record. NCBI's taxonomy places the organism in Eukaryota, Metazoa, Chordata, Actinopteri, Siluriformes, Ariidae. The transcript is spliced from 2 exons.
CAGUAAACUAGUAAAUACAGUUUUCUGCAUCUCGCUCCUUUUUCUUUUAUGUUUGUCGCCUUCCUCGCAUUCAAACCGAUUCGAGCCGAAGUCCACUACAUGUCCAAAAUGGCGGUCGUGUUUACGAAGGUCACGUGACUGAAAAGGGUCUAUAAGCGGAAUGUGAAAUGGGUGGGGGUUGGGGCAUUGGGGGAAGAGAAGUGUUGUACUGAAAUAUGGCUGCUUAUUAAGGCUGGUGUUCUACACGAUGGCUUGUAAAUGUGUGCACACGGCGAAAAACAUCCCUGUAUUUUGUAUUUACCUGUAAAUAAUGAUUUUACAGCAGCUGUUCUAGGACACAUUUUGCCUCUGUGGAGUGGUGUGGAGACAUAAAUACCAGCACUAUUUGGUUCCCUCAGUUGUGUGUUAUGCAAAGAGACCAACACUUUUAGUAUGUAUUGAUCUAAUAGAGUAAUACAUAAACCUACUUUUAGGUUCGUUUGAUUCAAGCACUAAUGAUUUUGUCAGAAAAUCACAUUAAAAUUCAUGUGCUGUAAAGACUUUAUUCACGUAGUCUCAGGGCUUUUCAAAGUGGGGGGCGCAACGUGAGAGACAAAAUGGAUCGGUUUUUAGCUGUCUAUGGUUUUUAGUACCUAAAGCUACAGUGAGGGAGGAGACAAAGUCUGGGCCAAGCAAAAAAACAGAGCCUCCAGGAUGUUGCGAUUUGCAACUUCAGCGCAAAUUCAACCAAUCCCCGCGAAUUCAGGGCGGUGUUGCAAUUGUAUCCAAUCACCGCAACUUUCCCGCAAAUUUGACCAAUCGUUGGCGUCGUCUUGAGGUGACGUCGACAAACUACCUUCCGCCUUACUUCCGUGUGUUCAAGAGAAGCAGCAUGCGCGUCGUGUUGCCAGAUUGGAUGAUUUCAAGUGCAUUUUGGCGGGUUUUGAACAUAUUUUGGACUGGAAAACGUCAGCAGUAUCUGGCAACACUGAAGUGUGUUAUGUUUACAGUGAAGGACUGUGUGCACUUUAUUUUUUUUUUUACUUAAUACAAGAAGUUAAUGGAUGCCAACAUUUUUGCCAAAAUGGUAUUUUAUUUUCCAUUGUUUAGGCAGCUUCAGCAUCAUACUGUGAGAUUCUGUUCAAAUUGUUUUUUUUCUUCUAUGAAGCCUGAGCCAUUUAUUUUAUUAGUUUAUAAUUAUUGUUUAAUUUAGUCUUCAGGAGAGACUGCCUGCACACAGUACUAGUAUUAAUAGGUUUUUUUUUUCUUACAUGAAAGCUGAGGCAUUUAUAUUCUAUUUUAAGGUAACUUCAUGUUGUGCUGUGAGGUUCUAUGCACUUUAACUUUUGAACCAACAGGUGCAUUUGGAUAAGUAAAGCCUAUUUUUCUGCAUUUUUGUAGUCCUGGUAAUCUUUUAUAUUGGUAAAGUUGUUUAUAGGACCAUUUCUCUUUGUUUUUUUAAUCAAUAGUUUUUCAGUAAUAACUUAAUAUUUAACAUAUCACUCAAUUUUAAUCACAAAAAGAGAAAAUCGCAACAAUUUCUCGCAACUUUCACUUCCUCCCGCAAUGUAAUCGCAACAAAAACCUAAAAAAACACAACUUUCAUCGCAAUUUUUUGGAAAACCCCCCGCAACAUCAGACAUUUUAGCCCACAACAAUCACAAAAAAGGCCCACGGAAUCCUGGGGGACUGGAAAAAGAAGGAAGUAUGACCACGAUUAUUUAAAGUUUGGAUUUUCAUGGACUGGAUCUGAAGAUGCUCCACUGCCACAGUGUGUUGUCUGCCAAGAGAUGCUAGCUAACGAUGCUAUGGGAUGUUUAAAAUGUGUAAAACAAGAUGUUUUAAAAAGCACAGAUGUUUAAAAUGUGAAAAAGAAAAAAAUAAUGUGUACAACAACCAUUUUUUUAAAAAUACGAAUGGAACAUUAAGUAUAGCAACAACAAAAAUUGUAAGGGGGGGCGCUGUUGUUUAUUUGCUCUCCGAGGGGGGGCUGACUCUCCCACACUUUGAAAACCCCUGGUCUAGAUCGUACGUGUGUAUGUGAUUGGAGGCGUACCUACAGUUACCAGUUUGCAUUUAAUAAAAGAAAAUCAGCAGUAGGAUGCAAAACUCUUCUGUUGGGAAUCACCUCACUGCAUCUAAAUGGAGAUUAAAAUGUAUAUUUGUUCAAAGCAGUGAACUUGUUUACAGCAUGAAACUGUAAGUGAAACAAGGCAGACAGGAAUGCUUGAGUGAAUGAUAAGGUGUCAAAAAUGACAAAGCUGUUGAUAUUUAUCGAA